Molecule: long non-coding RNA, 1655 nt
Organism: Oncorhynchus tshawytscha (Chinook salmon)
Lineage: Eukaryota; Metazoa; Chordata; Actinopteri; Salmoniformes; Salmonidae
Source: Ensembl
GUUCAAACACGGAAAUGGUUAUAAUCGUUUUUCCACCAUUCAUUUUAUCCCUGCAUUGUAGAUUUUAGAAACACUUCAAAUAAGUGUUUCGCGUAGGCUUACGUUUUGAUAACCAUGUAAAUGUCUAUCGUUAAAGGUGACGUUUAUCAAUAUAUUCGCCUGUAUUUAGCCCCCCAAAAAUGAAAAGCUAAUUAGCUGCUAAUGUGGCUAUCAUACAGAACUCAUACAGAACUCAGCGUCAUGUCACUCAUCAGGGUCAUGAUAAUCUGGAUGUGUCUGCCGAAUAUAGACAAAAAUGCGCUGCCCUAUGGGACUCCAAAUUACGGCCGGUUGUGAUACAGCCUGAAAUCAAACCAGUGUCAGUAGUGACGCCUCUAGCACUGAGAUGCAGCGCCAGACAGCUGCACCACUCGGGACAAUUGAUACGUUUGCUGUUACCCUCUGGACAGCAGAUCAUUAGCCUUCCCUUACACGUGAGGACCUCGAUUUGAACACCGCAACUGAGAUGGACUGACGUUGACGGACACACGCUGAGACCACGAGUAUGACUGGACAUGGGAUGGAUAUUUAUGAAGACCUAAAAGGGGUGCAAAAGCACACCAACUUAUUUUUUAUUCCAUGGCCAACCAUCUCGGGCUGAAAGCCUCAACCUAAUGGGUUACAACUGACAAUUUCUCAUUAGAUAUUGCGUCUUACACAGAUCACAGAUUAGGGUAUAUAUUCCAUGUCAGACUUUUCAAUGCCACCCUGAAGGUUGCCAGGGCAAGCUGUUUCUUGUACAUACAUUCAAUUGUAAAAUGCACAAACAUUUUAGUAAAAUGAGUAUUCUUGAGUGAAUAACAAAAUCCCACUUUUGUAUGUCCAAUAGGUUAUGAAAAUUUAACAUGACCUUAUGGUGAGUGACAUUUAAUGAAGUGAGAUGACUGGAUUAAUAUUUACAUUCAAGUUCUCUCUGUACACAAUACAAUUGCUUGAAAAAUCAACCGCAAUAUGAAUGAAGAAAAGAUCCAUGGAAGGGUGAUCCAAAGGGGGUUGGUUGUAUCUACACAGUAAAAAACAUAUAUUUGGCUUUCUAUUCGUGCAUAUCUAUUCCGUGCUCUUAAACUGAGCUCAUAUCUCCCAUGGUCUUAACUUAAAUAGAUAAAGUUUUGACCAGUUCAAAUCCAGGCUGAAACUCCCCAUAAAAGAGUCUUUAUCAACAGGAUCAUAUUGCCCUAUCAGGUUAGAAUGUUGUUUAAACAAGAGUAAAACUGGGUUAAAUGAGACCUAUUCUUAGUUUGAGGAACAGCACUUCAUGUAAGUCCAUCUCUCGUGAAGUAUUAGCUGCAUUAUCUGCUGUAUGGAAACUAUUCCACAAUGGGUGGUACCACAUACACUGAACAAAAAUAUAAACACAACAUGUGUUGGUCCCAUGUUUCAUGAGCUGAAAUAAAAGAUCCCAGAAAUUGUCCAUGCGCAGAAAGCUUAUUUCUCUCAAAUGUUGUGCACAGAUUUGUUUACAUCCCUGUUAGUGAGCAUUUCUCCUUUGCCAAGAUUAUCUGACUGAUUUCCUCACAUGAACUGUAACUCAGUAAAAUCUUUGAAAUGGUUGCGUUUAUAUUUUUGUUCAGUAUAGUUCUGCAGUAGACUUGUCAUGCUAUAAAAACACCUGUUGC